CGGGUUAGUAACACGUGAGCAACCUGCCUCGAAGCGGGGGAUAGCCUUCCGAAAGGGAGAUUAAUACCGCAUAUGGUCCACCCUUUAAAGGGGUGGAUCAAAGGAGCCUUCGGGUUUCACUUCGAGAUGGGCUCGCGGCCUAUCAGCUUGUUGGUGAGGUAACGGCUCACCAAGGCAACGACGGGUAGCUGGUCUGAGAGGAUGAUCAGCAACACUGGAACUGAGACACGGUCCAG
Molecule: ribosomal RNA, 236 nt
Filed under: uncultured bacterium
Lineage: Bacteria
Description: partial 16S ribosomal RNA
Rfam family: Bacterial small subunit ribosomal RNA
Source: RNAcentral